UCCGGUUUGGCACCGGCAGUCUGACUAGAGUCCCCGACAUUACUCGCUGGCAACUAGUCACAAGGGUUGCGCUCGUUGAUGGACUUAACCAAACAUCUCACGACACGAGCUGACGACGGCCAUGCAACAUCUGUCACUUGGUUCAAUAAAGCACUCACUACUUUCGUAGUAAUUCCAAGGAUGUCAAACCCUGGUAAGGUUCUUCGUUUAGCAUCGAAUUAAAGAACCCGAUCCACCGCUUGUGCGGGUCCCCGUCAAUUCCUUUAUGUUUUAGUCUUGCGACCGUACUCCACAGGCGGGAUACUUAACGCGUUAGCUUCGCUACUGAAGGGGUCGAUACCUCCAACAGCUAGUAUCCAUAGUUUACGGCGUGGACUAC
This 379-nucleotide unclassified non-coding RNA is filed under the name uncultured bacterium. RNAcentral's name for it is "contains 16S-23S intergenic spacer region". The record is from RNAcentral.